GCGCAGGCGGUUUAAUAAGUCUGAAGUUAAAGGCAGUGGCUUAACCAUUGUUCGCUUUGGAAACUGUUAAACUUGAGUGCAGAAGGGGAGAGUGGAAUUCCAUGUGUAGCGGUGAAAUGCGUAGAUAUAUGGAGGAACACCGGUGGCGAAAGCGGCUCUCUGGUCUGUAACUGACGCUGAGGCUCGAAAGCGUGGGGAGCAAACAGGAUUAGAUAUCCUGGUAGUCCACGCCGUAAACGAUGAGUGCUAGGUGUUAGGCCCUUUCCGGGGCUUAGUGCCGCAGCUAACGCAUUAAGCACUCCGCCUGGGGAGUACGACCGCAAGGUUGAAACUCAAAGGAAUUGACGGGGGCCCGCACAAGCGGUGGAGCAUGUGGUUUAAUUCGAAGCAACGCGAAGAACCUUACCAGGUCUUGACAUCCCAGUGACCGCUCUAGAGAUAGAGUUUUUCUUCGGAACACUGGUGACAGGUGGUGCAUGGUUGUCCUCAGCUCGUGUCGUGAGAUGUUGGGUUAAGUCCCGCAACGAGCGCAACCCUUAUUGUUAGUUGCCAUCAUUCAGUUGGGCACUCUAGCGAGACUGCCGGUAAUAAACCGGAGGAAGGUGGGGAUGACGUCAAAUCAUCAUGCCCCUUAUGACCUGGGUACGCACGUGCUACAAUGGUUGGUACAACGAGUCGCAAGUCGGUGACGGCAAGCAAAUCUCUUAAAGCCAAUCUCAGUUCGGAUUGUAGGCUGCAACUCGCCUACAUGAAGUCGGGAUCGCUAGUAAUCGC
Molecule: ribosomal RNA, 774 nt
Filed under: uncultured Bacillota bacterium
Lineage: Bacteria; Bacillati; Bacillota
Description: bacterial SSU rRNA
Rfam family: Bacterial small subunit ribosomal RNA
Source: RNAcentral